This 73-nucleotide transfer RNA is filed under the name Candidatus Vidania fulgoroideorum. Its description in RNAcentral is "tRNA-Ile". It matches the Rfam family "tRNA". From Rfam's summary of the family: Transfer RNA (tRNA) molecules are approximately 80 nucleotides in length. Lineage: Bacteria; Pseudomonadati; Pseudomonadota; Betaproteobacteria. The record is from RNAcentral.
AGGUCUAUAGCUCAAUUGGUAGAGUUUUGCUUUGAUAAAGCAAAGGUUAUUGGUUCAAUCCCAAUUAGACCUA